UACGAACCGUCCAAACGUUAUUCGGAAUCACUGGGCUUACAGAGUUCGUAGGCGGUCUGGUAAGUUGGGUGUGAAAGCCCUCGGCUCAACCGAGGAAUUGCGCUCUAAACUGUCGUGCUCGAGGAAUCUAGAGGUGAGCGGAACUGAUGGUGGAGCGGUGAAAUGCGUUGAUAUCAGCAGGAACACCGGAGGCGAAGGCGGCUCACUGGGGAUUUUCUGACGCUGAGGAACGAAAGCCAGGGGAGCGAACGGG
RNAcentral lists this ribosomal RNA (253 nucleotides) under uncultured bacterium. Its description in RNAcentral is "partial 16S ribosomal RNA". It matches the Rfam family "Bacterial small subunit ribosomal RNA", at positions 524 to 776 of the family's 1533-position model. The record is from RNAcentral.